This 337-nucleotide ribosomal RNA is filed under the name uncultured Bacillus sp. Its description in RNAcentral is "bacterial SSU rRNA". It matches the Rfam family "Bacterial small subunit ribosomal RNA", at positions 9 to 335 of the family's 1533-position model. The record is from RNAcentral. Lineage: Bacteria; Bacillati; Bacillota; Bacilli; Caryophanales; Bacillaceae.
GAGUUUGAUCGUGGCUCAGGACGAACGCUGGCGGCGUGCCUAAUACAUGCAAGUCGAACGAACGGAUAAAGAGCUUGCUCUUUUGAAGUUAGUGGCGGACGGGUGAGUAACACGUGGGUAACCUGCCUCACAGCUGGGGAUAACAUCGAGAAAUCGAUGCUAAUACCGAAUGUUCUGAACAUCAUAAGAUGUUCAAGUGAAAGACGGUUUCGGCUGUCACUGUGAGAUGGACCCGCGCUGGAUUAGCUAGUUGGUAAGGUAAUGGCUUACCAAGGCGACGAUCCAUAGCCGACCUGAGAGGGUGAUCGGCCACAUUGGGACUGAGACACGGCCCAAA